AACGAACGCUGGCGGCAUGCCUAACACAUGCAAGUCGAACGAGACCUUCGGGUCUAGUGGCGCACGGGUGCGUAACGCGUGGGAACCUGCCCUUAGGUUCGGAAUAACUCCCCGAAAGGGGUGCUAAUACCGGAUAAUGUCUUCGGACCAAAGAUUUAUCGCCUUUGGAUGGGCCCGCGUUGGAUUAGCUAGUUGGUAGGGUAAAAGCCUACCAAGGCGACGAUCCAUAGCUGGUCUGAGAGGAUGAUCAGCCACACUGGGACUGAGACACAGCCCAGACUCCUACGGGAGGCAGCAGUGGGGAAUAUUGGACAAUGGGCGAAAGCCUGAUCCAGCAAUGCCGCGUGAGUGAUGUAGGCCUUAGGGUUGUAAAGCUCUUUUACCCGGGAUGAUAAUGACAGUACCGGGAGAAUAAGCUCCGGCUAACUCCGUG
RNAcentral lists this ribosomal RNA (433 nucleotides) under uncultured bacterium. Its description in RNAcentral is "partial 16S ribosomal RNA". It matches the Rfam family "Bacterial small subunit ribosomal RNA", at positions 29 to 507 of the family's 1533-position model. The record is from RNAcentral.